Molecule: unclassified non-coding RNA, 161 nt
Filed under: uncultured Rozellomycota
Lineage: Eukaryota; Fungi; Rozellomycota
Description: uncultured Cryptomycota sequence contains ITS2
Source: RNAcentral
AUCCCUUUUGAUCCACUGGAUCACACAUCCACUUUGGUUGUUGAUCCCCAGUUGGUCAAGACAUGGACCUUCAUCACUGAUCGUCUUGAAUACAGGCACGGGUUGUUCGUGAGAGUGGAAGCCAAUUCUAUUGAUCGACCAAUCCGCUCAUAUAUACCCCA